GCCGUGGUGGACGAGUGCUUAAGGCGUUGGAUUUGAAAUCCAAUGGGUUAUAUCUGUACAGGUACAAAUCCUGUCCACAUCG
Trichuris muris is the source of this 82-nucleotide non-coding RNA. The record is from Rfam. NCBI's taxonomy places the organism in Eukaryota, Metazoa, Nematoda, Enoplea, Trichinellida, Trichuridae.